RNAcentral lists this ribosomal RNA (750 nucleotides) under uncultured archaeon. Its description in RNAcentral is "bacterial SSU rRNA". It matches the Rfam family "Archaeal small subunit ribosomal RNA", at positions 150 to 905 of the family's 1478-position model. The record is from RNAcentral.
UACUCCAUAGUUCGUCUUAACUGGAAUGUUAUUCGAACGAAAGAUCCGUCGCUCCAGGAUGAGUCUGCGGCCGAUUAGGUAGUUGUUGGGGUAACGGCCCAACAAGCCUUUCAUCGGUACGGGUUGUGGGAGCAAGAGCCCGGAGAUGGAUUCUGAGACACGAAUCCAGGCCCUACGGGGCGCAGCAGGCGCGAAAACUUUACCAUGCGGGCAACCGUGAUAAGGAAACCCCGAGUGCCAGCACAGGCUGGCUGUCCGCCAGUUUAAAUAACUGGUGAAGAAAGGGCCGGGCAAGACCGGUGCCAGCCGCCGCGGUAAUACCGGCGGCUCGAGUGGUGGCCGCUAUUACUGGGCUUAAAGGGUCCGUAGCUUGAUAACUGGGUCCCUUGAGAAAUCCGCCAGCUCAACUGGCGGGCGUUCAGGGGAAACUUGUUUUCUAGGGACCGGGAGAGGUGAGGGGUACUGCCGGGGUAGGAGUGAAAUCCUGUAAUCCCGGUGGGACCACCUAUGGCGAAGGCAUCUCACCAGAACGGGUCCGACAGUGAGGGACGAAAGCUGGGGGAGCAAACCGGAUUAGAUACCCGGGUAGUCCCAGCUGUAAACUAUGUGCGUUAGGUGUGUCAGUGACCGCGUGUCACUGAGGUGCCGAAGGGAAACCGUGAAACGCACCGCCUGGGGAGUACGGUCGCAAGGCUGAAACUUAAAGGAAUUGGCGGGGGAGCAAAUCCCGCGGCCAUGGCGGCCGGAGCA